CCUACGGGAGGCAGCAGUAGGGAAUAUUGCUCAAUGGGGGAAACCCUGAAGCAGCAACGCCGCGUGGAGGAUGAAGGUUUUCGGAUUGUAAACUCCUUUUGUUAGAGAAGAUAAUGACGGUAUCUAACGAAUAAGCACCGGCUAACUCCGUGCCAGCAGCCGCGGUAAUACGGCGGGUGCAAGCGUUACUCGGAAUCACUGGGCGUAAAGCGCGCGUAGGCGGGAUAGCAAGUCAGAUGUGAAAUCCUAUGGCUUAACCAUAGAACUGCAUUUGAAACUGGUAUUCUAGAGUAUGGGAGAGGUAGGUGGAAUGCUUGGUGUAGGGGUAAAAUCCGUAGAGAUCAAGAGGAAUACUCAUUGCGAAGGCGACCUGCUAGAACAUAACUGACGCUGAUGCGCGAAAGCGUGGGGAGCAAACAGGAUUAGAUACCCGGGUAGUC
This 440-nucleotide ribosomal RNA is filed under the name uncultured bacterium. RNAcentral's name for it is "partial 16S ribosomal RNA". It matches the Rfam family "Bacterial small subunit ribosomal RNA", at positions 338 to 795 of the family's 1533-position model. The record is from RNAcentral.